AGCGGAGGAAAAGAAACCAACAGGGAUUGCCUCAGUAACGGCGAGUGAAGCGGCAACAGCUCAAAUUUUAAAGCUGGCGUCUUUGACGUCCGCAUUGUAAUUUGGAGAGGCAUCUUCGGAUUGGGCGCUAGCCUAUGUUCCUUGGAACAGGACGUCACAGAGGGUGAGAAUCCCGUGCUUGGCUGGCUGUCCCUUUUCAUGUGAAGUGUCUUCGACGAGUCGAGUUGUUUGGGAAUGCAGCUCAAAAUGGGUGGUAAAUUUCAUCUAAAGCUAAAUAUUGGUGGGAGACCGAUAGCGCACAAGUAGAGUGAUCGAAAGAUGAAAAGCACUUUGAAAAUAGAGUUAAAAAGUACGUGAAAUUGUUGAAAGGGAAGCGCUUGAGACCAGACUCGGCUGGUGAUGAUCAGCUGUUCUUUUGGGCAGUGCACUUGUCGCCGGUUGGGCCAGCAUCGGUUGAGACGGCGGGAUAAAGGUUCUGGGAAUGUGGCUCCUCUCGGGGAGUGUUAUAGCCCAGAAUGCAAUGCCGCCAGCCUCGACCGAGGACCGCGCUUCGGCUAGGAUGCUUGGCAUAAUGGUCUUCAGCGACCCGUCU
RNAcentral lists this ribosomal RNA (592 nucleotides) under Verpa sp. M499. RNAcentral describes it as "eukaryotic LSU rRNA". It matches the Rfam family "Eukaryotic large subunit ribosomal RNA", at positions 49 to 654 of the family's 3401-position model. The record is from RNAcentral. Lineage: Eukaryota; Fungi; Ascomycota; Pezizomycetes; Pezizales; Morchellaceae.